UACGUAGGGGGCGAGCGUUGUCCGGAGUUACUGGGCGUAAAGGGCAUGCAGGCGGUCGUACGCGUUUUGUGUGACAGCGGGUGGCUUAACUACCCGAGGAUGCGAAAGACGGUAUGACUUGAGGGCUCGAGAGGGACACGGAAUUCCGGGUGGAGUGGUGAAAUGCGUAGAGAUCCGGAGGAACACCGAAGGCGAAGGCAGUGUCCUGGCGAGUGACUGACGCUGAGGUGCGAAAGCCAGGGGAGCGAACGGG
Molecule: ribosomal RNA, 253 nt
Filed under: uncultured Ktedonobacter sp.
Lineage: Bacteria; Bacillati; Chloroflexota; Ktedonobacteria; Ktedonobacterales; Ktedonobacteraceae
Description: partial 16S ribosomal RNA
Rfam family: Bacterial small subunit ribosomal RNA
Source: RNAcentral